This 465-nucleotide ribosomal RNA is filed under the name uncultured bacterium. RNAcentral's name for it is "partial 16S ribosomal RNA". It matches the Rfam family "Bacterial small subunit ribosomal RNA", at positions 338 to 795 of the family's 1533-position model. The record is from RNAcentral.
CCUACGGGCGGCAGCAGUGGGGAAUAUUGGGCAAUAGACGCAAGUCUGACCCAGCAACGCCGCGUGAAGGAAGAAGGCUUUCGGGUUGUAAACUUCUGUCAGCAGGGAAGAACGGUCACUGUGCUAAUCAGCAGUGAAUUGACGGUACCUGCAAAGGAAGCACCGGCUAACUCCGUGCCAGCAGCCGCGGUAAUACGGAGGGUGCGAGCGUUAAUCGGAAUUACUGGGCGUAAAGCGCUCGUAGGCGGUAUGUCAAGUCAAGGGUGAAAUCCCCGCGCUCAACGUGGGAACUGCCUUUGAAACUGGCAAACUGGAGUGUGUGAGAGGAUAGUGGAAUUCCAGGUGUAGGAGUGAAAUCCGUAGAUAUCUGGAGGAACAUCAGUGGCGAAGGCGACUAUCUGGCACAUAACUGACGCUGAGGAGCGAAAGCGUGGGUAGCAAACAGGAUUAGAUACCCGAGUAGUC